Molecule: ribosomal RNA, 491 nt
Filed under: uncultured bacterium
Lineage: Bacteria
Description: partial 16S ribosomal RNA
Rfam family: Bacterial small subunit ribosomal RNA
Source: RNAcentral
AGUGAACGCUAGCGGUAGGCCUAACACAUGCAAGUCGAACGGCAGCACAGUAAGAGCUUGCUCUUACGGGUGGCGAGUGGCGGACGGGUGAGGAAUACAUCGGAAUCUACUUUUUCGUGGGGGAUAACGUAGGGAAACUUACGCUAAUACCGCAUACGACCUACGGGUGAAAGCAGGGGAUCUUCGGACCUUGCGCGAUUGAAUGAGCCGAUGUCGGAUUAGCUAGUUGGCGGGGUAAAGGCCCACCAAGGCGACGAUCCGUAGCUGGUCUGAGAGGAUGAUCAGCCACACUGGAACUGAGACACGGUCCAGACUCCUACGGGAGGCAGCAGUGGGGAAUAUUGGACAAGGGGCGCAAGCCUGAUCCAGCCAUACCGCGUGGGUGAAGAAGGCCUUCGGGUUGUAAAGCCCUUUUGUUGGGAAAGAAAAGCAGCAGGUUAAUACCCCGCUGUUCUGACGGUACCCAAAGAAUAAGCACCGGCUAACUUCGU